RNAcentral lists this ribosomal RNA (465 nucleotides) under Vreelandella stevensii. RNAcentral's name for it is "partial 16S ribosomal RNA". It matches the Rfam family "Bacterial small subunit ribosomal RNA", at positions 338 to 795 of the family's 1533-position model. Lineage: Bacteria; Pseudomonadati; Pseudomonadota; Gammaproteobacteria; Oceanospirillales; Halomonadaceae. The record is from RNAcentral.
CCUACGGGUGGCAGCAGUGGGGAAUAUUGGACAAUGGGCGAAAGCCUGAUCCAGCCAUGUCGCGUGUGUGAAGAAGGCCUUCGGGUUGUAAAGCACUUUCAGUGGGGAAGAAAGCCUUGGGGCUAAUACCCUCGAGGAAGGACAUCACCCACAGAAGAAGCACCGGCUAACUCCGUGCCAGCAGCCGCGGUAAUACGGAGGGUGCGAGCGUUAAUCGGAAUUACUGGGCGUAAAGCGCGCGUAGGCGGUCUGAUAAGCCGGUUGUGAAAGCCCCGGGCUCAACCUGGGAACGGCAUCCGGAACUGUCAGGCUAGAGUGCAGGAGAGGAAGGUAGAAUUCCCGGUGUAGCGGUGAAAUGCGUAGAGAUCGGGAGGAAUACCAGUGGCGAAGGCGGCCUUCUGGACUGACACUGACGCUGAGGUGCGAAAGCGUGGGUAGCAAACAGGAUUAGAUACCCGUGUAGUC